RNAcentral lists this microRNA (21 nucleotides) under Haemonchus contortus (barber pole worm). RNAcentral describes it as "hco-miR-5885b". The record is from miRBase by way of RNAcentral. Lineage: Eukaryota; Metazoa; Nematoda; Chromadorea; Rhabditida; Trichostrongylidae.
UGAGAUCACGCCUAUAUUCGC